UCCAGUUGAUCCUGCUGGCGGCUGCGGCUCUCUGGUUUGCACUUAGACAUGCAAGUUUUAUGCUUAGAAAUAGGUGUAAGCGAACUGCUCAGUAACACGUAACUAAUCUACCCUUAAGUCAGGGAUAACCUCGGGAAACUGAGGCUAAAACCUGAUAGGAGAUUUACCCUGGAAUGAUUUAUCUCUUAAACUCGUGCUUAAGGAUGAGGUUGCGGCAGAUUAGGUCGUUGGCGGGGUAAUGGCCCACCAAGCCGGUGAUCUGUAAGGGCUCUUAGCGGAGAGGCCCUGAGAGGGAAUCUGAGACACUAUUCCCAGCCCUACGGGGUGCAGCAGUUAGGAAUAUUUUGCAAUGCGCGCAAGCGUGACAAAUCGAGCCAGAGUGUUUUCCUUUUUGGAAAACUUUUAUGCACUGUAAAAAGGUGCAGGAAUAAGGACUGGGUAAGACUAGUGCCAGCCGCCGCGGUAAUACUAGCGGUCCAAGUCGCAGCCAUUUUUAUUGGGUCUAAAACAUCCGUAGCUUGCUUUUUAAGUUUCUUGUGAAAUUUGGUAUCUUAAGUACACAAGCGUGCAAGAAGUACUGGAAAGCUAGAGACUGGAAGACGUGAGAAGUACGAAUAAAGUAGCGGUAAAAUGUUUUGAUCUUAUUCGGACUCCCAAUAGCGAAGGCAUCUCACGAGGACAGUUCUGACAGUAAGGGAUGAAGGCUAGGGGCGCAAAACGGAUUAGAUACCCGUGUAGUCCUAGCAGUAAACACUGCACACUAAACAUUAGUACCUCCUCGAGAGGUAUUAGUGCUGUAGGGAAGCCGAAGAGUGUGCUACCUGGGAAGUAUGGUCGCAAGGCUGAAACUUAAAGGAAUUGGCGGGGAGACACUACAACGGGUGACGCGUGCGGUUCAAUUAGAUUAUACACCGUGAACCUUACCAGGACCGACAGCAGGAUGAAGGUCAGUCUAAAGGGCUUACCUGACACGCUGAGAGGAGUUGCAUGGCCGACGUCAGCCUGUGCUGUGAAGUGACCAGUUAAAUCUGGUAACAGGCAAGACCCACGUGCAUAUUUGCUAAUGAACUAUAUGCAGAUUGCCUUGGUAACAAGGAUGAAAGUGUGGGCUACGUUAGGUGGGUACAGCCCGACAGCCCUGGGCGACACGCGCGCGUCAAUGGUGGAUACAAUGGGAUGCGACUCAGAAAUGAGAAGCCAAUCUCUUAAAGUUCAUCUCAGUCCAGAUUGAGGAUUGUAACUCAUCCUCAUGACGCUGGAAUCCGUAGUAAUCGGAUGUU
Molecule: ribosomal RNA, 1280 nt
Filed under: metagenome
Description: bacterial SSU rRNA
Rfam family: Archaeal small subunit ribosomal RNA
Source: RNAcentral